AGCAGCCGCGGUAAUUCCAGCUCCAAUAGCGUAUAUUAAAGUUGUUGCAGUUAAAAAGCUCGUAGUUGAAUUUCGGGAUCAAUUAAUUGGUCGUGCCUCUGGUACGUACUGAUUUUAUUGGUUUCUCCCUUCUGACGAACCAUGAUGUCAUUAAUUUGGUGUCGUGGAGAAUCAGGACUGUUACUUUGAAAAAAUUAGAGUGUUUAAAGCAAGCUAACGCUUGAAUACAUUAGCAUGGAAUAAUGAAAUAGGACGUUUGAUCCUAUUUUGUUGGUUUCUAGGAUCGACGUAAUGAUUAAUAGGGAUAGUUGGGGGCAUUAGUAUUCAAUUGUCAGAGGUGAAAUUCUUGGAUUUAUUGAAGACUAACUACUGCGAAAGCAUUUGCCAAGGAUGUUUUCAUUAAUCAAGAACGAAAGUUAGGGGAUCGAAGACGAUCAGAUACCGUCGUA
This 449-nucleotide ribosomal RNA is filed under the name uncultured Glomus. RNAcentral describes it as "SSU rRNA". It matches the Rfam family "Eukaryotic small subunit ribosomal RNA", at positions 569 to 1022 of the family's 1831-position model. The record is from RNAcentral. Lineage: Eukaryota; Fungi; Glomeromycota; Glomeromycetes; Glomerales; Glomeraceae.